RNAcentral lists this ribosomal RNA (497 nucleotides) under uncultured bacterium. RNAcentral's name for it is "partial 16S ribosomal RNA". It matches the Rfam family "Bacterial small subunit ribosomal RNA", at positions 28 to 507 of the family's 1533-position model. The record is from RNAcentral.
GAUGAACGCUGGCGGCGUGCCUAAUACAUGCAAGUCGAGCGAACAGACGAGGAGCUUGCUCCUCUGACGUUAGCGGCGGACGGGUGAGUAACACGUGGAUAACCUACCUAUAAGACUGGGAUAACUUCGGGAAACCGGAGCUAAUACCGGAUAAUAUAUUGAACCGCAUGGUUCAAUAGUGAAAGACGGUUUUGCUGUCACUUAUAGAUGGAUCCGCGCCGCAUUAGCUAGUUGGUAAGGUAACGGCUUACCAAGGCAGCGAUGCGUAGCCGACCUGAGAGGGUGAUCGGCCACACUGGAACUGAGACACGGUCCAGACUCCUACGGGAGGCAGCAGUAGGGAAUCUUCCGCAAUGGGCGAAAGCCUGACGGAGCAACGCCGAGUGAGUGAUGAAGGUCUUCGGAUCGUAAAACUCUGUUAUUAGGGAAGAACAAAUGUGUAAGUAACUAUGCACGUCUUGACGGUACCUAAUCAGAAAGCCACGGCUAACUACGUG